CCAGACUCCUACGGGAGGCAGCAGUGAGGAAUAUUGGUCAAUGGCCGGAAGGCUGAACCAGCCAAGCCGCGUGAAGGACGAAGGUGCCAAGCAUUGUAAACUUCUUUUGUCAAGGGACAAAAUCAGGCUCGAGAGCCUGACCGAGGGUACUUGGAGAAAAAGCAUCGGCUAACUCCGUGCCAGCAGCCGCGGUAAUACGGAGGAUGCGAGCGUUAUCCGGAUUUAUUGGGUUUAAAGGGUGCGUAGGCGGACUGUAAAGUCGGGGGUAAAGGCCGGGGGCCAACCCCGGGCGAGCCGUUGAAACUGGCUGUCUUGAGAUGUCGAGAGGUAUGCGGAAUGCGCAGUGUAGCGGUGAAAUGCUUAGAUAUUGCGCAGAACUCCGAUUGCGAAGGCAGCAUGCCGGCGGCGGACUGACGCUGAGGCACGAAAGCGUGGGUAUCGAACAGGAUUAGAUACCCGAGUAGC
This 465-nucleotide ribosomal RNA is filed under the name uncultured bacterium. RNAcentral describes it as "bacterial SSU rRNA". It matches the Rfam family "Bacterial small subunit ribosomal RNA", at positions 331 to 794 of the family's 1533-position model. The record is from RNAcentral.